Molecule: ribosomal RNA, 254 nt
Filed under: uncultured bacterium
Lineage: Bacteria
Description: partial 16S ribosomal RNA
Rfam family: Bacterial small subunit ribosomal RNA
Source: RNAcentral
GACGAACCGUGCGAACGUUAUUCGGAAUCAUUGGGCUUAAAGGGCGCGUAGGCUGCGGCGUAAGUUGGAAGUGAAAUCCCAUCGGCUCAACCGUGGAAUUGCUCCCAGUACUGCGUCGCUCGAGGGGGAUAGGGGUCUGCGGAACUACCGGUGGAGCGGUGAAAUGUGUUGAUAUCGGUGGGAACGCCAGUGGCGAAAGCGGCAGACUGGACCCUUCCUGACGCUGAUGCGCGAAAGCUAGGGGAGCAAACGGG